This 374-nucleotide ribosomal RNA is filed under the name uncultured bacterium. RNAcentral describes it as "bacterial SSU rRNA". It matches the Rfam family "Bacterial small subunit ribosomal RNA", at positions 362 to 759 of the family's 1533-position model. The record is from RNAcentral.
CACCGCAAGGGCGAAGCCUGAGCAGCCCUGCCGCGCGAAUGAUGAAGGCCCCAGGACCGUAAAACCCCCCCCCGGGGACGAUAAUGACGGUACCCGGAGAAGAAGCCCCGGCUAACCCCGUGCCAGCAGCCGCGGUAAUACGAAGGGGGCCAGCGUUGCUCGGAAUCACUGGGCGUAAAGGGCGCGUAGGCGGACAUUUAAGUCAGGGGUGAAAUCCCAGAGCUCAACUCUGGAACUGCCUUUGAUACUGGGUGUCUUGAGUGUGAGAGAGGUAUGUGGAACUCCGAGUGUAGAGGUGAAAUUCGUAGAUAUUCGGAAGAACACCGGUGGCGAAGGCGACAUACUGGCUCAUUACUGACGCUGAGGCGCGAAAG